UUUCUAUGUGUUAGGUAGAGCUGCUUUGACUCCGUGUCUUGGUAGCGUGGCCUAAUGUAGUAGGUGUCCUGAAGGUUCCAGUGGCUCAGCCUCCCCUAUCACCCAAGCCAAGUACUCGAGGUGUACCCAUUGUGUGGGCUGAGUUCAUCCUCUUCUUAUAGUUGAGCCUUGGUUGCUGUUGGCAGAUCAACGGAUUUAUCCAGGCC
Molecule: long non-coding RNA, 206 nt
Organism: Phyllostomus discolor (pale spear-nosed bat)
Lineage: Eukaryota; Metazoa; Chordata; Mammalia; Chiroptera; Phyllostomidae
Exons: 3
Source: RefSeq, a predicted model, not a curated record